UGUUUGACAUCUGUUGUUUAACAUACAAAAUUGUAUUAUCAUGACGCAAGCUGCACGGCUGGGACUAAAGCCUGCCUCGAAUUGUGAAAACCAUACUCCCCCACUGCCUCUGCCCGCUCUUUACCAGAAGACUAUAUAAUUGGGCCCUGAACAUUUUCACUGAAGGCUGUAAAUUCCCCUUCCGUUUCAUCCCAGACAUUUUGGAAUUUUCUAAGACAGCCGCCUUGGGAGAACUCGUGGACAGGAGGAGCCAGGACAGAGGCGGGAAGGGUAAACACAGGUGCCUUUGCUAAAGCUUUGACGUGGUUCCAGCAGGUCGGUGAGGAAGAGGCUGGGAGCGAGGGCACCUCAAUGCUAAAGCUGGAACUUUCUGCCACCCUUGUCCACAGUUUUUAAUUAAGGGCCUGUAUCGCUCAGAACCUGUAAAAAUACCCGUGUGUUUCCAAUGAGGCUACUCGGGGCUGAUACUCAGAAACAUUCCCUGUUACCCAAACAUCUCAUUAAAGC
Molecule: long non-coding RNA, 507 nt
Filed under: Mustela putorius furo (domestic ferret)
Lineage: Eukaryota; Metazoa; Chordata; Mammalia; Carnivora; Mustelidae
Description: lncRNA (ENSMPUG00000025398.1)
Source: RNAcentral